This 410-nucleotide ribosomal RNA is filed under the name uncultured soil bacterium. Its description in RNAcentral is "bacterial SSU rRNA". It matches the Rfam family "Bacterial small subunit ribosomal RNA", at positions 61 to 519 of the family's 1533-position model. The record is from RNAcentral.
GUCGAACGCCCCGCAAGGGGAGUGGCAGACGGGUGAGUAACGCGUGGGAAUCUACCCUUUACUACGGAAUAACGCAUGGAAACGUGUGCUAAUACCGUAUGUGUCCUUCGGGAGAAAGAUUUAUCGGUAAAGGAUGAGCCCGAGUUGGAUUAGCUAGUUGGUGGGGUAAAGGCCUACCAAGGCGACGAUCCAUAGCUGGUCUGAGAGGAUGAUCAGCCACAUUGGGACUGAGACACGGCCCAAACUCCUACGGGAGGCAGCAGUGGGGAAUAUUGGACAAUGGGCUCAAGCCUGAUCCAGCCAUGCCGCGUGAGUGAUGAAGGCCCUAGGGUUGUAAAGCUCUUUCACCGGAGAAGAUAAUGACGGUAUCCGGAGAAGAAGCCCCGGCUAACUUCGUGCCAGCAGCCGCG